This 256-nucleotide ribosomal RNA is filed under the name uncultured bacterium. RNAcentral's name for it is "partial 16S ribosomal RNA". It matches the Rfam family "Bacterial small subunit ribosomal RNA", at positions 334 to 607 of the family's 1533-position model. The record is from RNAcentral.
GUUCCCUACGGGAGGCAGCAGUGGGGAAUAUUGCACAAUGGGGGAAACCCUGAUGCAGCGACGCCGCGUGAGUGAAGAAGUAUCUCGGUACGUAAAGCUCUAUCAGCAGGGAAGAAAAUGACGGUACCUGAGUAAGAAGCCCCGGCUAACUACGUGCCAGCAGCCGCGGUAAUACGUAGGGGGCAAGCGUUAUCCGGAUUUACUGGGUGUAAAGGGAGCGUAGACGGCCAGACAAGUCUGAAGUGAAAAUCCAGCG